Molecule: ribosomal RNA, 406 nt
Filed under: uncultured bacterium
Lineage: Bacteria
Description: partial 16S ribosomal RNA
Rfam family: Bacterial small subunit ribosomal RNA
Source: RNAcentral
AUUGAACGCUGGCGGCAGGCCUAACACAUGCAAGUCGAGCGAGCGGCGGACGGGUGAGUAAUGUCUGGGAAACUGCCUGAUGGAGGGGGAUAACUACUGGAAACGGUAGCUAAUACCGCAUACCAUCAGAUGUGCCCAGAUGGGAUUAGCUAGUAGGUGGGGUAAUGGCUCACCUAGGCGACGAUCCCUAGCUGGUCUGAGAGGAUGACCAGCACAACUGGAACUGAGACACGGUCCAGACUCCGACGGGAGGCAGCAGUGGGGAAUAUUGCACAAUGGGCGCAAGCCUGAUGCAGCCAUGCCGCGUGUGUGAAGAAGGCCUUAGGGUUGUAAAGCACUUUCAGCGGGGAGGCGUUACUCGCAGAAGAAGCACCGGCUAACUCCGUGCCAGCAGCCGCGGUAAUAC